Molecule: ribosomal RNA, 2922 nt
Filed under: Campylobacter coli
Lineage: Bacteria; Pseudomonadati; Campylobacterota; Epsilonproteobacteria; Campylobacterales; Campylobacteraceae
Description: 23S ribosomal RNA
Rfam family: Bacterial large subunit ribosomal RNA
Source: RNAcentral
AAAAAAGGUAAGCUACUAAGAGCGAAUGGUGGAUGCCUUGACUGGUAAAGGCGAUGAAGGACGUACUAGACUGCGAUAAGCUACGGGGAGCUGUCAAGAAGCUUUGAUCCGUAGAUUUCCGAAUGGGGCAACCCAAUGUAUAGAGAUAUACAUUACCUAUAUAGGAGCGAACGAGGGGAAUUGAAACAUCUUAGUACCCUCAGGAAAAGAAAUCAAUAGAGAUUGCGUCAGUAGCGGCGAGCGAAAGCGUAAGAGGGCAAACCCAGUGCUUGCACUGGGGGUUGUAGGACUGCAAUGUGCAAGAGGUGAGUUUAGCAGAACAUUCUGGAAAGUAUAGCCAUAGAGGGUGAUAGUCCCGUAUGCGAAAAACAAACCUUAGCUAGCAGUAUCCUGAGUAGGGCGGGACACGAGAAAUCCUGUCUGAAGCUGGGUCGACCACGAUCCAACCCUAAAUACUAAUACCAGAUCGAUAGUGCACAAGUACCGUGAGGGAAAGGUGAAAAGAACUGAGGUGAUCAGAGUGAAAUAGAACCUGAAACCAUUUGCUUACAAUCAUUCAGAGCACUAUGUAGCAAUACAGUGUGAUGGACUGCCUUUUGCAUAAUGAGCCUGCGAGUUGUGGUGUCUGGCAAGGUUAAGCAAACGCGAAGCCGUAGCGAAAGCGAGUCUGAAUAGGGCGCUUAGUCAGAUGCUGCAGACCCGAAACGAAGUGAUCUAUCCAUGAGCAAGUUGAAGCUAGUGUAAGAACUAGUGGAGGACUGAACCCAUAGGCGUUGAAAAGCCCCGGGAUGACUUGUGGAUAGGGGUGAAAGGCCAAUCAAACUUCGUGAUAGCUGGUUCUCUCCGAAAUAUAUUUAGGUAUAGCGUUGUGUCGUAAUAUAAGGGGGUAGAGCACUGAAUGGGCUAGGGCAUACACCAAUGUACCAAACCCUAUCAAACUCCGAAUACCUUAUAUGUAAUCACAGCAGUCAGGCGGCGAGUGAUAAAAUCCGUCGUCAAGAGGGAAACAACCCAGACUACCAGCUAAGGUCCCUAAAUCUUACUUAAGUGGAAAACGAUGUGAAGUUACUUAAACAACCAGGAGGUUGGCUUAGAAGCAGCCAUCCUUUAAAGAAAGCGUAAUAGCUCACUGGUCUAGUGAUUUUGCGCGGAAAAUAUAACGGGGCUAAAGUAAGUACCGAAGCUGUAGACUUGAUUUUAUCAAGUGGUAGGAGAGCGUUCUAUUUGCGUCGAAGGUAUACCGGUAAGGAGUGCUGGAGCGAAUAGAAGUGAGCAUGCAGGCAUGAGUAGCGAUAAUUAAUGUGAGAAUCAUUAACGCCGUAAACCCAAGGUUUCCUACGCGAUGCUCGUCAUCGUAGGGUUAGUCGGGUCCUAAGUCGAGUCCGAAAGGGGUAGACGAUGGCAAAUUGGUUAAUAUUCCAAUACCAACAUUAGUGUGCGAUGGAAGGACGCUUAGGGCUAAGGGGGCUAGCGGAUGGAAGUGCUAGUCUAAGGUCGUAGGAGGUUAUACAGGCAAAUCCGUAUAACAUACUCCGAGAACUGAAAGGCUUUUUGAAGUCUUCGGAUGGAUAGAAGAACCCCUGAUGCCGUCGAGCCAAGAAAAGUUUCUAAGUUUAGCUAAUGUUGCCCGUACCGUAAACCGACACAGGUGGGUGGGAUGAGUAUUCUAAGGCGCGUGGAAGAACUCUCUUUAAGGAACUCUGCAAAAUAGCACCGUAUCUUCGGUAUAAGGUGUGGUUCGCUUCGUAUUAGGAUUUACUCCGAAAGCGAAGAAACUUACAACAAAGAGUCCCUCCCGACUGUUUACCAAAAACACAGCACUCUGCUAACUCGUAAGAGGAUGUAUAGGGUGUGACGCCUGCCCGGUGCUCGAAGGUUAAUUGAUGGGGUUAGCAUUAGCGAAGCUCUUGAUCGAAGCCCGAGUAAACGGCGGCCGUAACUAUAACGGUCCUAAGGUAGCGAAAUUCCUUGUCGGUUAAAUACCGACCUGCAUGAAUGGCGUAACGAGAUGGGAGCUGUCUCAAAGAGGGAUCCAGUGAAAUUGUAGUGGAGGUGAAAAUUCCUCCUACCCGCGGCAAGACGGAAAGACCCCGUGGACCUUUACUACAGCUUGACACUGCUAUUUGGAUAAGAAUGUGCAGGAUAGGUGGGAGGCUUUGAGUAUAUGACGCCAGUUGUAUAUGAGCCAUUGUUGAGAUACCACUCUUUCUUAUUUGGGUAGCUAACCAGCUUGAGUUAUCCUCAAGUGGGACAAUGUCUGGUGGGUAGUUUGACUGGGGCGGUCGCCUCCCAAAUAAUAACGGAGGCUUACAAAGGUUGGCUCAGAACGGUUGGAAAUCGUUCGUAGAGUAUAAAGGUAUAAGCCAGCUUAACUGCAAGACAUACAAGUCAAGCAGAGACGAAAGUCGGUCUUAGUGAUCCGGUGGUUCUGUGUGGAAGGGCCAUCGCUCAAAGGAUAAAAGGUACCCCGGGGAUAACAGGCUGAUCUCCCCCAAGAGCUCACAUCGACGGGGAGGUUUGGCACCUCGAUGUCGGCUCAUCGCAUCCUGGGGCUGGAGCAGGUCCCAAGGGUAUGGCUGUUCGCCAUUUAAAGCGGUACGCGAGCUGGGUUCAGAACGUCGUGAGACAGUUCGGUCCCUAUCUGCCGUGGGCGUAAGAAGAUUGAAGAGAUUUGACCCUAGUACGAGAGGACCGGGUUGAACAAACCACUGGUGUAGCUGUUGUUCUGCCAAGAGCAUCGCAGCGUAGCUAAGUUUGGAAAGGAUAAACGCUGAAAGCAUCUAAGCGUGAAGCCAACUCUAAGAUGAAUCUUCUCUAAGCUCUCUAGAAGACUACUAGUUUGAUAGGCUGGGUGUGUAAUGGAUGAAAGUCCUUUAGCUGACCAGUACUAAUAGAGCGUUUGGCUUAUCUUUAAUAAAGCAU